UCUCCUGUAGCUCAGUGGUAGAGCGUCCGACCGGUGUGUCACGGGAAGGUCAUAGGUUCGACUCCUGUUGGGGGAA
Molecule: non-coding RNA, 76 nt
Organism: Desmophyllum pertusum
Lineage: Eukaryota; Metazoa; Cnidaria; Anthozoa; Scleractinia; Caryophylliidae
Source: the annotation of a GenBank genome assembly